AGGAUGUAGACAGUUGGCUUGGGCUCCAGCACCCCACAGGAUAAGCUGAAGAACGGCAAUGGUUUCUGGUCUAUCUACUCGGCUCCGCCCACCAGCUAAUCCUGAGGCAGCUUCCCAAGGACCAGGCUUGAUGGAGGCAGGAGGCAGGAAGCAGCUGCUGGAACAAUUCUAGAUGGGCGUUCGGGCGACUCGGUUUCACUGCACACGGCCGAUCUCUGUGGCUCCUUGUUUGAGCGCUUUUUAUAUAAGAAAAGACAAACAUGCUGGAGAACCGGCACCCCACCCACACCACUGGGGCCUCUGAUACCAUGGCAACCACAACCUCCAGGUCAAACCCAGGCGCGGCCGCACUCCUCUCGAUGACCUGAGCUCCCUCCUGGCUCCAGUGACAGCCUCUCUGAACGGU
This 406-nucleotide long non-coding RNA is filed under the name Equus caballus (horse). RNAcentral's name for it is "lncRNA (ENSECAG00000051837.1)". Lineage: Eukaryota; Metazoa; Chordata; Mammalia; Perissodactyla; Equidae. The record is from RNAcentral.